Non-coding RNA from Paramuricea clavata, 284 nucleotides. The record is from the annotation of a GenBank genome assembly. Lineage: Eukaryota; Metazoa; Cnidaria; Anthozoa; Malacalcyonacea; Plexauridae.
UUUCUUUUUCUUUUUCUAUUGUAUUUCUUAUCUGCCGUCUUGUUUUGUCUCCAACUAGAGUCACAUGUGCUACCUAAAUUUAUUAGCUUUUAUAUAGUUAUUAUAGGUAGCCUUUACUCCAAUUUCUGUAUUUGUAAUUGUUGUUGUGUUUUUCAAAUUCGCACUAUGUAAUGAAAGAGUAUAAAAAUAAAUUAUCUUAUCUUAAUUAUCUGCUAGUGAAUUCAGCGCAAUAUGCUUUGCGUGCGGUGGUUUCCUUCUCUGUCUGCUGGCAUUUCAUAAUCAAG